This 460-nucleotide ribosomal RNA is filed under the name uncultured bacterium. RNAcentral describes it as "partial 16S ribosomal RNA". It matches the Rfam family "Bacterial small subunit ribosomal RNA", at positions 338 to 795 of the family's 1533-position model. The record is from RNAcentral.
CCUACGGGUGGCAGCAGUGAGGAAUAUUGGUCAAUGGCCGUAAGGCUGAACCAGCCAAGUCGCGUGAAGGAAAAAGGAUCUAUGGUUUGUAAACUUCUUUUAUAGGGGAAUAAAGGGAACCACGUGUGGAUAUUUGCAUGUACCCUAUGAAUAAGCAUCGGCUAACUCCGUGCCAGCAGCCGCGGUAAUACGGAGGAUUCGAGCGUUAUCCGGAUUUAUUGGGUUUAAAGGGGGCGUAGGUGGGUUUUUAAGUCAGCGGUGAAAGUUUCUGGCUCAACCAUAAAAUUGCCGUUGAAACUGGCAGGCUUGAGUGUGUUUGAGGUAGGCGGAAUGCGUGGUGUAGCGGUGAAAUGCUUAGAUAUCACGCAGAACUCCGAUUGCGAAGGCAGCUUACUAAGCCAUAACUGACACUGAGGCACGAAAGCGUGGGGAUCAAACAGGAUUAGAUACCCGUGUAGUC